AAGGAAGGGCAGAAAUCAGUAAGUACUGCUAAUACUUAUGUACCAGGGUUAAAAUCCCCGGCUUUCUUA
Molecule: transfer RNA, 69 nt
Filed under: Pseudaspius nakamurai
Lineage: Eukaryota; Metazoa; Chordata; Actinopteri; Cypriniformes; Leuciscidae
Description: tRNA-Ser
Source: RNAcentral